Long non-coding RNA from Oncorhynchus gorbuscha (pink salmon), 384 nucleotides. RefSeq lists it as uncharacterized. NCBI's taxonomy places the organism in Eukaryota, Metazoa, Chordata, Actinopteri, Salmoniformes, Salmonidae. The transcript is spliced from 3 exons. The record is from RefSeq and is a predicted model, not a curated record.
GAAGAGGAAGAGACACUGACUGGUCAUGUACGAACCAUUGUGUUUUAUAUAAUAUCUUAUAUUUGUAACAUUGAAAUUCAUCUUUAUAUGUGAUUUUAAAAGGGAAAAUAUACAAUGUUCUCAACUCUUUAAAGGGAUGCUCUACGUGAUGUGAUUCAGAGUGGUGCUGUCACCAGCUAUUUCUUCAGCCUCUCUUCUACUAGUGGGAUGUACCACAUGCUGGAUGGUGAGGAGUUGGGAGAGAACACUACUACAGGAUUGCCCUGUUUGGAGCUGCAAAGCUCCACAGUGGAGAUUGGAGUAUCUGUCUAUAGGACCACUUUAAGCUGUACACUCCACAAAGCUGGGUGUCCAGAAAAAAAGCCAUUGCUUAAAGAAGAAAAU